UACGUAGGGAGCAAGCGUUGUCCGGAAUCAUUGGGCGUAAAGCGCGCGUAGGUGGCCUCGUAAGUCCGCUGUGAAAGUCAAAGGCUCAACCUUUGAAAGCCGGUGGAUACUGUGAGGCUAGAGUACGGAAGAGGCGAGUGGAAUUCCCGGUGUAGCGGUGAAAUGCGCAGAUAUCGGGAAGAACACCCGUGGCGAAGGCGGUUCUCUGGGACGGUACUGACGCUGAGACGCGAAAGCGUGGGGAGCAAACAGG
RNAcentral lists this ribosomal RNA (253 nucleotides) under uncultured bacterium. Its description in RNAcentral is "partial 16S ribosomal RNA". It matches the Rfam family "Bacterial small subunit ribosomal RNA", at positions 524 to 776 of the family's 1533-position model. The record is from RNAcentral.